Homo sapiens (human) is the source of this 4608-nucleotide long non-coding RNA. RefSeq lists it as uncharacterized. Lineage: Eukaryota; Metazoa; Chordata; Mammalia; Primates; Hominidae. The record is from RefSeq and is a predicted model, not a curated record. The transcript is spliced from 2 exons.
AUCCUCCCACCUGAGCCUCCCAAGUAGCUGGGAUCACAGGCUCAAAUGGGUGCCAUAGCAGAUGAGUAGCUGCCUGAAGCAUGGGACAGUCUCUAUGGUCAUUGAGUCCAAGGAAAAUAAGCACCCUCGAUCCAGCCUUCCACCCUGUGCUCCUGGAGAAAAAUGGAUGCAGCUAUGAUCUAUCUUGCAAAGACUGUGUGUGAUGGCAGAGCUGCUGAGGUACCCCACAGGUAGCCUGAAACAGGAGUAUUGUGUUCCUUCAGAAAUGAAGGUGAACUGUAGUUGAGAGGCUAUUGAAAUGGGCCUGGAACAGAACACACUCUCCAAAUCUAUAAAAGCAAAAUAUUUGCUCAUUAUUGAUUUAAUAGAAUCAGUAAUUUUAAUAAUAUUAGCUGUUUUGUAUGGGGGCCCUAAUUGGUAGGAACACAUUGUUAAGGUUAUAGUAAUGCACCAUGAGGCACUUUACCCUUUUUUUAUCCCCCAGGUUUAACAGGCAAGAUUGGGAUAUCAAAUAGAGAAGCAGUUGGGAUAAUUGCCUUUUUAUUAAUUAGGUUUAACCCUUGAAGGCCCUGUUGUACCCUAUAUUGGACCAGAUUAACUAUUUUAACUGGGUAUUCAUGGGGUCCCAUUUUAUCAAGCCAGUUUGUAAAAGACCUACCUUAAUUUAUGAUUUAUGUUAGAGCAUCUAUGCUCCAAUAUGGGAUAUAUUAGGGCAAUGGGUAUUAUGACUUGGGAAAUAUAGGCAAGGCUACAUUUAAAGUGAGGCAUUCCUACUUUUUCUCUAUUUUAUAUAUAGUGACUUUCUUAAGAUAGGAGAGGCACAAUGCUUAAAUUUAAUGGGAUCCCCCGGUAUAACUGUAAUUUGAGCUCCAGUACUGAUUAUGUCCAUGGAGUUUUGUCAUUGGGUACAUUUUAGCUUCUUUUAAUUUCAACCUGAUAGACCUCCUUUAGCCUUUUUUUUUUUUUUUUUUUUUUUUUGCAGAGCAGGUCUAGUGAUAAUCAACUCCCUCCACUUUUGUUUAUCUGGGAAUAUGUGAAUUUCUCCAUAAUUUUUCAAGAACAUUUUGCUGAAUAUAAAAUUCUCUAUUGACAGCUUUUUUUCUUCACCCUUUACGUUUAUUGACCCACUUCCUUCUAGCUUCCAAGGUUUCUGAUGAGACACUGGCUAAUAGUCUUGAGGAUCCCCUAUAUGAGAGGAGUUGCUUCUCUCUUCCUAUUUUCAAGAUUAUCUGUCUUUGGCUUUUGACAUUUGAUUAUGUGUCUCAGUGUGGGUCUCUUCACAAUUCUCCUGCUUAGAGUUCAUUCAUGGUGAACUCUUGCUGGGUUGGCAAAUUCAUAUCUUUCAUCAAAUUUGGAGAUUUUUCAGCCAUUAUGUCUUCAAGUAUUUUUCUCUGCCCCUUUCUUUCUUUUCCCCUUCAGGGAUUCCCAAAUUGUUGUUGUGCUAAAGUUCCAAUCCUCAUUCUUUUUUAUAUUGAUAAUUUGUAUUUUCCUGUUUUUAAGUUUGCUGAAUCUCUCCUCUGAUUGCAUGUCUUCUGAAUCCCUUUAUUGUAUUCAUAUUUUGUUUCCAUUACUGUAAAUUUUGAUCUAGAAUGUUUUUUGUUCUUUUUAGAAAUCAUUUUAUCUCUUUAUUUCUAUCCUCAUUUUGCUCAUACAUCUUUUUCCUUUGUUCAUGUCUUUAGCUUUUUAAGCAUCUUUAAGACAGUUGUCUUUUUCUGGCGAGACUGACAUCUGGGUUUCCUCAAGUAUGUUUUCCCUCCAUUCAUUUUGUUCCUUUAAUUGGGCCAUACUUUUAUGUUUUUUUGGCAUGCCUUCAGGUUUUUGUUGUUGUAGAAGACUGGGCAUUUGAAUCUUACCAUGUGGUAACUCUGGAAAUCAUAUUUCCCGCCACCUUUCCCUGGAUUUGCUGCAUUUUUGCCUCUGUUUUCAUUAUUAUGGGAUAAUUAUGUGCCAGAGAUCGGCCUAAAGUGAAAACUGAAGAAGGUCUUUUCAGUGCUUGCAUCUUUCCAUGGGCAUGUGAGGUGGCUUUCUGAAUUCUUCCGUAUAUGUAGUUGUUUUUGAAGACAAACAAAAAAAUAGGUGCAAUUCUUUUAUAUCUGUGAAAAGACACUUCAUCCAGUGGGGGUUGAAACAAUGAUGACUAGCCUACAAGCCCACAAGAUCAGAAGCACCAAUCCACAGUCAGAACACAAAACCUCAGUAUCUGUGGGAUAAGGGACUUAUUGCCCACCCUGGCUCCAGAAAUCUGCACCAGAAUGACAUUCCCAUCCCCAAAGCUGCUUGCCAUGGAGCUGGGAGUGAGGAAUGUGUAGCCAAUACCACUCUGAUGGCUGCAAUCAACACAAAUUGUAAUUUAUUAGGCAAGCUGGAAAUUACAAGCAUUCAGGUAAACUCUGGAGUUCCAACAUAGUUACUUCAGAAAGAUGCCAGAAUAGUUUUUCAGGUACAGUGGCAGAUUCGUGGCACUUCCUAUUUGGUCAUUUUCCCUGAAAUCAUACUCCACAUAUUUGGUUUUGUAGUAUUUUAUAGUAUCUGAAAUAAUAUGUCUCUAAAUAUUUAUGUGAUCUGUUGCAGGCAGUAAAAUAUGGAAAACUGGGUACUCACCUUUAAGAAAUGAAGUACCACUCUCUUCAUAAGAGUCUUUUGAUGCUCAUUCCUAGUGGCCCUCUGGGUGCUACUUAGCCAUUGCCUCGAAGAAUAUGAAGAGCUACAUUACCUAGAAGGAUGUGCUUCAUAUGCCCAAAUGAGAGCCUAGGACAGGAGUGUUUCCUGCAGCCUGCAUUAUUGUGGCCUGCACUAUUGGCACUGCUACAGUGGACUUUCAUUUGUCACAUGACCUGUCUGACCACACCACCCAGGGGGAGCAGGUGACUCUUUGGGACCAAGCUAGGAAGGCCAGUAAGGAGGAUAGGACUCAUCUAGACACCUUUGUAGGGCCUAGGAGAGAGUUCAGCUGAGUGAAGUACUGAUACAGUCGCCUCCCUCCUAGCACAGGUGUGUUAACUAGUCUCACAUUCUUGGACUCUCAACCACAUGGCUGUGGCAUGCUGACAUGGAGGAUCGUGGCAUCCUGGGAUUCUUCAGGCCUUCUCUUCCUGCUGAUAGGGUCACUCUCAGUCCAGAGUCCUAGAAUUAAAUCAAGUAUUACAAAAGAAAGUUCCUCUUUCUUGGCAAUUGGUGGUAUGUGGUGGGGAAGUAUGAACUAUAACUUCUUAGUAUCCCCCAUUCAUGUACAGUGGCAUGUGCAGAUCCUUGGGAGAGGCAUGGCCUGCAGAAUCCAGAGACAUGUUUGGAUCAUGCUGUACCCUAUCUCAGGGCUGUGGCCUUGUGCAAGCUAUCUUGCUAUCCUUCACCUCCAUUUUCCUCAAGGAAGGCUUAAAGGGGAAAUAUUAACCAUCAUUCUUUCUAGAUGAGAGUAUCAGAGAUGGCUAAUGUGUGAUGUGUGUUCCCAGUGCCCAGCACUGUGCAAGGAACAUCCCUCUGGAUGCUAUUUCUAGGGAGAUACAUCCUUAGGCCUAUAAAUCUGCCCUCUACUCCAUCUUCCUUUGCUCACUGCUCUCCUGCCAAGCUGUCCUGAUCAUUCUAAGCUCUUUCCCACUUCCCAGUGUUUCUCUCUGCCUGGGACACUGAGUCCAGAUCUCUGCAGUGCCUCUCCCUCUCCUCUCCUCCUUUGCAUCCUUCCCUGUUCUGCACCAAUGUCAAUGUCACCUACUAGGAGAGUCUUUUUUUUUUUUCCCUUUGGCCUUGCUAGCUCUAGAUUAAGUAUUUCUCAUCUUCUGGAAUCUUUGUGCAGAGAAUGUGGCACACUUACAAAAGUAGAGAUCAGGACUUGGUUCGGUUUUCCAGGGUGGUGUGGAAGCAAAGAGGCUAAGUAACAAUAAUAACUACAUUUAUUGAGUUCUGAGGGUAACUUGUUAUGUAGCACUUCAUUUAAUCCCAAUUUCCUCAGAGUUAGGUUCUAUUAUUCCUGCUUUACAGAAAAGGAACCUGAGGUUUGGAAAACUUAAGUUAUCUUCUCAGGGUCACACAACUCUUGGCGGAAACUCACAUCCUGUAUGUUGAGCCCUUGAGCCUUUGUUCUUUCUUCUUCUUCACCACCAUUCCUCCUCAGUGGGCUGGGGAAGCCUGAGGUGAUACCUGACAAAGAUUUCUCUUUCUUUCACCAAACUCUAGCUAGGCCCCUCUGAGCCUUCUUUAAUAGGCCUGUCAACUUUUGCCUAUUAAGACUUGAACAACACUAACACUUUCUAAUAACUUUUAAAGUGCUGGCCUGAAAAACUCAAGGCUGUCCAAAGAAUUUCUUCCAGCCAACACCUGAAGAUAAGACCCCUGUCUCACAGUCUCUGUGGGAGGAUAGGAUCCUAAUUCAAGUGCCAGUAGCAAACCCAGAUAGACUGCACAUAGACCAGCCCCCUCCCUUCCUGUGUUUUGUAAUUUUUCACUUUUCUGACUCUACUGAGCCCCUCUUCUCCACCCCCUCCCUAUUUCCUCACCCUUCCUUUAACAUACUCAUUCACCUCUGUACAAAUCAAAGCUGGGUUCAGUUCAUGCCAAAUUCCUUUCCCCAUUGCAAUAGUUAUUACCAAUUAAAGUCCGUUCUCCCCACUGUCA